AUUUGCAAAUGAGGGAAGAAAACCUGAUAUCCUAGUGCCAUAAGGUUACUGCUGCAUUUUGUGAACGAGGGAUAGAGGGAAGGGAAACUGGCAACUUGGUGGUAGAAAAGCCUGCUGAUGCAUUUGCGAGUCAGAGAUGUGAACGUGGUUUCCCAGUGCCAAAUGGGUUUGUUACUGAUUUGCAAUAAUAGAUGUGUCAUGGUCUGGGUGGGUACCUGUAGGUUUCCAAAAGCGGCCCUCCUGGAGAUCGAUUGCUCCUUCCUGGCUGACCACCUGUGAGCAAUUAUUCCUGCAGCAUAUAAGACCUGCGCACUCAAUCAGUCAUCGCCUGAGUAUCUACUUUCCCAUAGUUCGCUCCUGGAGUGGGGUUCUCACCUCAGUCAUCCCUUCUUUUCUGGACCCAGGCCACCAGCUGCUGGUACUGCAUUACUAACUAGCCCGCCUCUCACCUGCCUCCUUCACCUGAAACCAAUGCCCUGGUCUCUUCAUAGCAUUUUUCCCGGCCCAGCCUUCACCUCCCCACUGCCACAGCUGUCCCGCUGUAUUCUAGAGCUUUCUAGAUUUCCUUUAGUUGCCUUAGUUUUGACAACGCG
Oreochromis aureus is the source of this 593-nucleotide long non-coding RNA. RefSeq lists it as uncharacterized. The transcript has 3 exons. Lineage: Eukaryota; Metazoa; Chordata; Actinopteri; Cichliformes; Cichlidae. The record is from RefSeq and is a predicted model, not a curated record.